UCUUACGGCCAUAUCAGGCUGAGAGCACCGGUUCUCGUCCGAUCACUGAAGUUAAGCAACGUCGAGCCUAGUGAGUACUUAGAUGGGUGACCGCUUGGGAAACCUAGGUGCUGUAAGCA
Molecule: non-coding RNA, 119 nt
Organism: Octopus bimaculoides (California two-spot octopus)
Lineage: Eukaryota; Metazoa; Mollusca; Cephalopoda; Octopoda; Octopodidae
Source: Rfam